This 377-nucleotide long non-coding RNA is filed under the name Vigna radiata. Its description in RNAcentral is "long non-coding RNA (VRAD_LNC009332)". The record is from RNAcentral. Lineage: Eukaryota; Viridiplantae; Streptophyta; Magnoliopsida; Fabales; Fabaceae.
AUGGACAUUGUGUAAAGCUACUUUUAGAGGGAAAAUGACCCCACAAAAUCAAUUACCGUGGAACGAGUAAUGAUGUUUAAUUCAAUAUAGAGACAAUCUAAUAAGCUAACUCUUGAAGAAAAAGAAAGGCUAAUUAAAUUAAUUAUUGCAAUUGAUACACAAUGCCUCUUCAAACAAACUUCACCCCAACGAGAACAUUUCAUGAUGGGCCUGGAAAACUUGUUGCCUGUUCAUGACUCUUCUUUGAUAUCGGGCCUAUUCAUCAAUGCAAAGUCCAAACACUAAAUCUUAUCCAAGGAUUUACUAUUCUCACCUCCCAAAUUCUAAUUAAAGCCUCACCUUUUCAAGAGUUUGUCUUUAAGAAAAAUGCUGCCCGC